Molecule: non-coding RNA, 577 nt
Organism: Ciona intestinalis (vase tunicate)
Lineage: Eukaryota; Metazoa; Chordata; Ascidiacea; Phlebobranchia; Cionidae
Source: RefSeq, a predicted model, not a curated record
AACAGCAAUGAUAUAACAGCUAUACCGAGGAUGAAUUACUCGGAAAAAAUUACUUCAUUAAAAUAUUCCUUUUGGCCCCUUCUGUUUAUAAAACGUUUCUUCUACAGUUCGACAAGCUGUCUGGUGGCAAAAGUAAGAGAGUUAUUUCAGUAUUACCUCAUGUUAUGAUCAAGACCUCUGGCUUUUAUGAAGAUAAACGAAUUAAGUUCCAUCCCAAUCUGCUCGAGGUCGGUUGGAAUCACUGAAACUAUCAAUCUUAGAUGCGAUCUAAACAAGAACUCACCUUCCUCCAAAACAUUCUCAAAUGGAUCGCCGUCAACCUUCACAAACUUCAUUGAUCUGUGCCACGAUAAAUGUUCAUACAGCGACAGUAACUGCUGCAGUUUUGUUUCCUUGGGAACUAACGCUCGCUCUUCUAGAUUAACUUGCAAAGUUUCAAACAAACCAAGCAAAGGUUGGUCAGGGUUGCCAGGGAACUGAAAUAAUAUGAUGAAUUGUAAAUCGAAUGUUAUAAUAAUUCCAUAUUUAUUCUGUUAAAUGUUUAAGUCAACUUAUCCUAGUUAAAAAGUCUGCAGGC